Molecule: ribosomal RNA, 497 nt
Filed under: uncultured bacterium
Lineage: Bacteria
Description: partial 16S ribosomal RNA
Rfam family: Bacterial small subunit ribosomal RNA
Source: RNAcentral
GAUGAACGCUGGCGGCGUGCCUAAUACAUGCAAGUCGAGCGAACGGACGAGACGCUUGCUUCUCUGAUGUUAGCGGCGGACGGGUGAGUAACACGUGGAUAACCUACCUAUAAGACUGGGAUAACUUCGGGAAACCGGAGCUAAUACCGGAUAAUAUUUUGAACCGCAUGGUUCAAAAGUGAAAGACGGUCUUGCUGUCACUUAUAGAUGGAUCCGCGCUGCAUUAGCUAGUUGGUAAGGUAACGGCUUACCAAGGCAACGAUGCAUAGCCGACCUGAGAGGGUGAUCGGCCGCACUGGAACUUAGACACGGUCCAGACUCCUACGGGAGGCAGCAGUAGGGAAUCUGCCGCAAUGGGCGAAAGCCUGACGGAGCAACGCCGCGUGAGUGAUGAAGGUCUUCGGAUCGUAAAACUCUGUUAUUAGGGAAGAACAUAUGUGUAAGUAACUGUGCACAUCUUGACGGUACCUAAUCAGAAAGCCACGGCUAACUACGUG